This 468-nucleotide ribosomal RNA is filed under the name uncultured bacterium. Its description in RNAcentral is "partial 16S ribosomal RNA". It matches the Rfam family "Bacterial small subunit ribosomal RNA", at positions 28 to 507 of the family's 1533-position model. The record is from RNAcentral.
GACGAACGCUGGCGGCGUGCUUAACACAUGCAAGUCGAACGGAAAGGCCCUGCUUUUGUGGGGUGCUCGAGUGGCGAACGGGUGAGUAACACGUGAGUAACCUGCCCUUGACUUUGGGAUAACUUCAGGAAACUGGGGCUAAUAACGGAUAGGAGCUCCUGCUGCAUGGUGGGGGUUGGAAAGUUUCGGCAGUUGGGGAUGGACGCGCGGCUUAUCAGCUUGUUGGUGGGGUAGUGGCUUACCAAGGCGUUGACGGGUAGCCGGCCUGAGAGGGUGACCGGCCACAUUGGGACUGAGAUACGGCCGAGACUCCUACGGGAGGCAGCAGUGGGGAAUAUUCCACAAUGGGCGGAAGCCUGAUGCAGCAACGCCGCGUGCGGGAUGACGGCCUUCGGGUUGUAAACCGCUUUCGCCUGUGACGAAGCGUGAGUGACGGUAAUGUGUAAAGAAGCACCGGCUAACUACGUG